AGCUCCAAUAGCGUAUAUUAAAGCUGUUGCAGUUAAAAAGCUCGUAGUUGGAUCUCGGGCCAGGGCUUGCGGUCCACCGCGCGUGGUUACUGCUCGUCCCGACCUACCUACCGGUUUUCCCUUGAUGCUCUUAGGUGAGUGUCUCGGGUGGCCGGAAAGUUUACUUUGAAAAAAUUAGAGUGUUCAAGGCAGGCAGCACGCCUGAAUAAUGGUGCAUGGAAUAAUGUAAUAGGACCUCGGUUCUAUUUUGUGGGUUUUCGGAACCCCGAGGUAAUGAUUAAGAGGGACAGACGGGGGCAUUCGUAUUACGGUGUUAGAGGUGAAAUUCUUGGAUCUCCGUAAGACGAACUACUGCGAAAGCAUUUGCCAAGAAUGUUUUCA
Molecule: ribosomal RNA, 381 nt
Filed under: marine Metazoa environmental sample
Lineage: Eukaryota; Metazoa
Description: SSU rRNA
Rfam family: Eukaryotic small subunit ribosomal RNA
Source: RNAcentral